RNAcentral lists this unclassified non-coding RNA (2124 nucleotides) under Ooceraea biroi (clonal raider ant). RNAcentral describes it as "uncharacterized LOC105276544, transcript variant X1". The record is from RNAcentral. Lineage: Eukaryota; Metazoa; Arthropoda; Insecta; Hymenoptera; Formicidae.
CGUCGCGUAACGCCGUGGCGGUCGCUAUCGAUCCGGAGCGCGAAUGGAGGCAUAGGGUACAGAAAGCGACGUUCUCCCGCGCGCGCAUGGUCGAAAAUCGAUCCCUUGCAGUUGAAAAGAUAAUCGGCGCAGAACUCUGCCUUUCUCAUACAGAGUGACGGGCAAACAACACGCGCAAAGUGAGGCCUUCUUCACAAAGUCACAAGUAUUGCAAUGCUGAUAAAAUUUCUCGACAAAUCCGGUCGCAGGUUCCUGCGGGCAAUCAAGAAACUGUCCACCAGGAACCGAAAGACCAAAAAAUCGCGCAAUUCCAGCUCCUCGCACACGAUCAUUCCUGACCUCGAGACGACUUCGCUGUCCUGGUCUUUGCCGUCCUUGGAUGCCAAGAGCAUUGACACAUACAUGACAUACGUACCCGAAAGUCAAGAGGACUAUACGUCGAGCUGCAGCUACUGCUGUGACGAAUACGAGGAGAAUCAAAGGAAUGAGAACAGAGAAAAUGAGAUGAUAAUCUAACGUUCAUAUCAUUAGACCAUUAGCUGGAGUUUGUUCUCGGCCUCCACGGUCAAAUUUGUCGCACAGCAAUCACAUCAACGGGAUGAAAAAACAAUUGCACGUAUCAUUUGAUAUGAAAAUAGGAAGGAAGCAGCGCGACACGCAUUAUUGUCUUUUUUAACACAUUGACUGGCCAUGUCACACAUAUACAGGUGACAGGUAUAUUUUACUGAAGGUUGUCGUCUAUAACCCAAUGAAAAUAAAUUGCAGUUUUGAUGCGACAGUGAUGUCAUUUUCAAUAAGUCGUUUCUACUGGGUAUUCAACUACGAUUGACCGUCUUAUUUAUUUAAUCUUAUGAGAUCAUGUAAAAAGUAUAAACUUGCUCAUAUUUUAGUAUUUAUAGUGGAUCAAACCUGGCAAGAGUCUCGAUGUUCAGACUGUUUUAUUAUAAAACUAUAAAGUUUUCAAAACACGUAUCAGUAUUUCGCGCGAGGAUAAUAUUCGACAUAUAUAACUUAUUAUCGGAUGUAAUUCGACAUUUCGCAAACUCUUGUAAGAUAUUUUUUCGCGUCAUAUAUUUAUCUUAAUUGUUAGAUGAAUAAUUUACUUUUGCGAUUUACAAGUUGUACCAUACAUAUAAUACAUCCACAGCACGGUUUUCUGUCCAAAAGAUUCUUAUAUAUAAUCAAUAUUGGAAUUUCUGGAUUUUAGGAAAUUAGAUUUAAUUAGAAUAAUAAUAAUAAUAAAAGAAUUUUUAAAAAAUAGAACGGAUAAAGAGUAAGUCAUGGAGAAGUCAUUUACUUCUGCAAUUAACUUACACUAUGUACAUCUACAUAUAUUUUUAUGAGACAUUCAAAUGUAUUAUAUUGAAAUAAUAAGAUAUUGCUUUAUUAAUGUCGUACUGGAGUAUUCCGAUGUUCUUCAUUUAUUGGCCGAUAAAAGGAGAUUUGACUUCUUGUUUCGAUUGUCACUAUUAACUAUUUUAUAUUUUAAAAUAACCUUGUUAAAUUAGUCUAAUAUACAAUCAAUCUUUAGUAUAAGAAUUUCAGGUUUUUUUAUACAGAAAGCAUUUCUUUAUUCUUUUAUAUAUAUAUAUAUAUAUUCCUUCUUUAUUAUAAAGACAGCAUUUAAAAGUCUUAAUUUAAAUAAACUAACAAAUUUUUGUACGAUUUAGUCUAGAAUUCGUCACGUUCCAGUUAGAUAUAGAAGGUACAGACGCAAGCCUAAUCACUUAUAUUAAGGUUUUCAAAUUCUCGAUCAUUUCGAGCAACUUUGCUCAAACGCGAAGUCAAUUUUCGUUAAAAUAUAGCAAAAUAUCUUUAUUCCUCCUAUGCGUUGACUUAUCAAAAACAAGACGUGCGCACGCGUGUGGGUGUGUGUGACAAUAUAUAUAUAUAUAUAUAUAUAUAUGUACAGGUGAGUGGGUGGGUAUAUGUGCAAGAACUGUAAUAACUUAUAUCAAUAUAGUAUGCAAAAAUUGUACGUACAUAAAAAAUAUAAAUAUUUAAACAUAUACAUAGGCGUAUAAUGCGUGUUGAUACUUUUUCAUAAGAGUAUCAAUAAGGCUGUGAUAAUUUGUAAUAAAAAUAUAAUUAUCGUAAAUAAAACAGUUUUAUUGACAAACUUAA